UGGGGAAUUUUGGACAAUGGGCGAAAGCCUGAUCCAGCAAUGCCGCGUGUGUGAAGAAGGCCUUCGGGUUGUAAAGCACUUUUGUCCGGAAAGAAAUCCUUGGCUCUAAUACAGUCGGGGGAUGACGGUACCGGAAGAAUAAGCACCGGCUAACUACGUGCCAGCAGCCGCGGUAAUACGUAGGGUGCAAGCGUUAAUCGGAAUUACUGGGCGUAAAGCGUGCGCAGGCGGUUUGCUAAGACCGAUGCGAAAUCCCCGGGCUCAACCUGGGAACUGCAUUGGUGACUGGCAGGCUAGAGUAUGGCAGAGGGGGGUAGAAUUCCACGUGUAGCAGUGAAAGUGCGUAGAGAUGUGGAGGAAUACCGAUGGCGAAGGCAGCCCCUGGGCCAAUACUGACGCUCAUGCACGAAAGCGUGGGGAGCAAACAGGAUUAGAUACCCUGGUAGUCCACGCCCUAAACGAUGUCAACUAGUUGUUGGGGAUUCAUUUCCUUAGUAACGUAGCUAACGCGUGAAGUUGACCGCCUGGGGAGU
This 533-nucleotide ribosomal RNA is filed under the name uncultured bacterium. RNAcentral describes it as "partial 16S ribosomal RNA". It matches the Rfam family "Bacterial small subunit ribosomal RNA", at positions 355 to 881 of the family's 1533-position model. The record is from RNAcentral.